GACGAACGCUGGCGGCGGGCUUAACACAUGCAAGUCGAACGGAAAUGCCCUGCUUUUGUGGGGUGCUCUGGUGGCGAACGGGUGAGUAACACGUGAGUAACCUGCCCUUGACUUUGGGAUAACUUCAUGAAACUUGGGCUAAUACCGGGUAGGAGCUCCUGCUUCAUGGGGGGGGUGGGAAAGUUUCGGCGGUUGGGGAUGGACUCGCGGCUUCUCAGCUUGGUGGUUGGGUAGUGGCGUACCAAGGCUUUGACGGGUAGACGGCCUGAGAGGGUGACCGGCCAAACUGGGACUGAGAUAAGGCCCAGACUCAUACGGGACGCAGCAGUGGGGAAUAUUGCACAAUGGGCGGAAGCAUGAUGCAGCAAAGCCGCGUGCGGGAUGAUGGCCUUCGGGUUGUAAACCGAUUUCGUCUCUGACGAAGCGUGAGUGACGGUAAUGGGUAAAGAAGCCCCGGCUAACUACGUG
RNAcentral lists this ribosomal RNA (468 nucleotides) under uncultured bacterium. RNAcentral describes it as "partial 16S ribosomal RNA". It matches the Rfam family "Bacterial small subunit ribosomal RNA", at positions 28 to 507 of the family's 1533-position model. The record is from RNAcentral.